Molecule: ribosomal RNA, 292 nt
Filed under: uncultured bacterium
Lineage: Bacteria
Description: partial 16S ribosomal RNA
Rfam family: Bacterial small subunit ribosomal RNA
Source: RNAcentral
GUGCCAGCCGCCGCGGUAAGACGAAGGAUGCAAGCGUUAUCCGGAUUCAUUGGGUUUAAAGGGAGCGUAGGUGGCCUUAUAAGUCAGUGGUGAAAUCUUCCCGCUUAACGGGAAAAUUGCCAUUGAUACUGUAGGGCUUGAGUAUAGUUGCCGUUGGCGGAAUAUGACAUGUAGUGGUGAAAUACAUAGAGAUGUCAUAGAACACCGAUUGCGAAGGCAGCUAACGAAACUAUAACUGACACUGAGGCUCGAAAGUGCGGGGAUCAAACAGGAUUAGAUACCCCCGUAGUCC